GACGAACGCUGGCGGCGUGCUUAACACAUGCAAGUGGAGCGACGAACCAGGGCUUGCCCUGGGGCGGAGCCGCGAACGGGUGAGUAACACGUGGGUAACGUGCCCCGAUGAUCGGGACAACCCGGGGAAACCCGGGCUAAUACCGAAUGUGCUCCCCUCACACCAGUGAGGGAUGGAAAGGAAGCUUCGGCCUCCGCAUCGGGAUCGGCCCGCGGCCCAUUAGCUUGUUGGUGAGGUAACGGCUCACCAAGGCUGCGAUGGGUAGCUGGUCUGAGAGGACGAUCAGCCACACUGGGACUGAGACACGGCCCAGACUCCUACGGGAGGCAGCAGUGGGGAAUCUUGCGCAAUGCGCGAAAGCGUGACGCAGCAACGCCGCGUGGGGGAAGACGGCCU
This 396-nucleotide ribosomal RNA is filed under the name uncultured bacterium. RNAcentral's name for it is "bacterial SSU rRNA". It matches the Rfam family "Bacterial small subunit ribosomal RNA", at positions 28 to 417 of the family's 1533-position model. The record is from RNAcentral.